Non-coding RNA from Hemicordylus capensis (graceful crag lizard), 402 nucleotides. NCBI's taxonomy places the organism in Eukaryota, Metazoa, Chordata, Lepidosauria, Squamata, Cordylidae. The record is from the annotation of a RefSeq genome assembly.
CCAGGCUCCCUUGAAGAGCUCACCAUGGCCGGGGCUCUGUUUUUCCUUGCGCUUCUCACUUACUGUGCAGGUGUCAGUUCUCAGGCCAGUUUGACCCAGCCCACCUCCAUGUCUGCGUCCCUGGGCCAAACAGUGAAAUUCACCUGCACAAAAAGCAGUGGGGUCAGCUGGAACGGUGGCCAAUCCUGGCAUCAACAGAGACCUGGUCAGGCUCCUCGCUUUGUGGUCUAUCAAACCUCCAGCAGGGGCGAAGGGAUCCCCGAUCGGUUCACUGGUUCCUCCUCUGGAAAUUCUUACUAUUUAACCAUCACAAAUGUCCAGGCUGAAGAUGAGGCUGAUUAUUAUUGCUGUGAUGCAUACCUCAGUGGUAGUUCUUGGCUGUCUCACAGUGAUAAAGUCUAA